GAGUAGGUCUCGUUGGUGACCAGCGGAGGGUCAUUACCGAGUUUACAACUCCCAAACCCCUGUGAACAUACCUUAAUGUUGCCUCGGCGGAUCAGCCCGCGCCCCGUAAAACGGGACGGCCCGCCAGAGGACCCAAACUCUAAUGUUUCUUAUUGUAACUUCUGAGUAAAACAAACAAAUAAAUCAAAACUUUCAACAACGGAUCUCUUGGUUCUGGCAUCGAUGAAGAACGCAGCAAAAUGCGAUAAGUAAUGUGAAUUGCAGAAUUCAGUGAAUCAUCGAAUCUUUGAACGCACAUUGCGCCCGCUGGUAUUCCGGCGGGCAUGCCUGUUCGAGCGUCAUUUCAACCCUCAAGCCCCCGGGUUUGGUGUUGGGGAUCGGCUCUGCCCUUCUGGGCGGUGCCGCCCCCGAAAUACAUUGGCGGUCUCGCUGCAGCCUCCAUUGCGUAGUAGCUAACACCUCGCAACUGGAACGCGGCGCGGCCAUGCCGUAAAACCCCAACUUCUGAAUGUUGACCUCGGAUCAGGUAGGAAUACCCGCUGAACUUAAGCAUAUCAAAAGCCGGGAGGAA
This 571-nucleotide ribosomal RNA is filed under the name Fusarium avenaceum. Its description in RNAcentral is "eukaryotic LSU rRNA". The stretch from base 188 to 341 matches the Rfam family "5.8S ribosomal RNA". The record is from RNAcentral. Lineage: Eukaryota; Fungi; Ascomycota; Sordariomycetes; Hypocreales; Nectriaceae.